UUUAGAUAAUGAAGAUGAAGAUGGUGAAGAUGGAGAUGAGAUGGAAGAUGACAAUCUGAAUCUCCAUCCUCAUCAUUAUCAUAAUGGAGU
RNAcentral lists this microRNA precursor (90 nucleotides) under Megaselia scalaris. RNAcentral describes it as "microRNA mir-598". The record is from RNAcentral. Lineage: Eukaryota; Metazoa; Arthropoda; Insecta; Diptera; Phoridae.